UUACGGCCAUAUCACGUUGAAACACUGUUUCUCGUACGAUCACCGAAGCUAAGCAACGUCGAGCUGGAGCAGUACCAAGAUGGGUGACCGCUUGGGAAUACCUGGUGGUGUAAG
Acanthosepion pharaonis is the source of this 114-nucleotide non-coding RNA. NCBI's taxonomy places the organism in Eukaryota, Metazoa, Mollusca, Cephalopoda, Sepiida, Sepiidae. The record is from the annotation of a GenBank genome assembly.